Molecule: ribosomal RNA, 327 nt
Filed under: Trichuris trichiura (human whipworm)
Lineage: Eukaryota; Metazoa; Nematoda; Enoplea; Trichinellida; Trichuridae
Description: partial large subunit ribosomal RNA
Source: RNAcentral
GGAAAACAAAGUAUACUAACUGUUAAUUAAAAUUUAACAUAAAUCUUUGGCUGAGUGCAAAAACUUAGAAUAAAAAUAUAAACGAGAAGACCCUGGGAAUUUUAAUAUUUUUAUUGGGAUAAUAUAAAACCAUACUUAGCUAAGCAACAAAUAACAUUAAUAAAAAGAAAUUACCCCAGGGAUAACAGCACAAUAGUCAUUAAGAGACCUAAUCUCAGUGAUUGAUUAUGACCUCGAUGUUGAAUCAUUUGUACAUAUAGUUUGCAGAAGAAUUUUAUUCUCGUCUGUUCGACGAUAGACAUUACGUGAUAGGUUUUUUAAAACCGA